Prosopis cineraria is the source of this 513-nucleotide long non-coding RNA. RefSeq lists it as uncharacterized. NCBI's taxonomy places the organism in Eukaryota, Viridiplantae, Streptophyta, Magnoliopsida, Fabales, Fabaceae. The transcript is spliced from 2 exons. The record is from RefSeq and is a predicted model, not a curated record.
CUACAAUGGCCCUCAUUAAUACUUUUUCUUCAUUGCUCACUGGUACUGGCAGGUCAGGAUCUGGGGUGCAUAUGAGGUAAUUUGCAAAAACAAAGUGUCUAGUUGAUUGAACGAAGCACAAGAAUGCGAGGAAGCAGGACUGGGAUACAUUAUAAUGCAGAAAACUAAAGGGAAGCAAUGAGAAUGAAGGAAGAAGGAGGACUUGCCUGCAUGAUUCUUUGAACCCAUAUUUUUCUGUUAUCGUUCUCAAAGCCCAUGCUUGUAGUGAUAGGACGAUGAAGAUACCUGUGAAGGAGAAAGAGGUCGUAACCAAACAUGAUGAGCAAUCCACAAGGGACCAGAACCAGAUCAAGGUACUCCUUCUGGGAAGGGAACUCCAUGAUUAUUUUUCCUUUCAAGGAGAUCCAAUGAAAGAUAGAUAGAGGAUGCUUAUAUUGCUUCAUUUUAUAAACUUGGUCCCUUAAAACAGGCAUCUAACUUCAUCUUUGGUACAUAAUAUUUAAUUUGAUAGAA